RNAcentral lists this long non-coding RNA (1503 nucleotides) under Ursus maritimus (polar bear). RNAcentral's name for it is "lncRNA (ENSUMAG00000016180.1)". The record is from RNAcentral. Lineage: Eukaryota; Metazoa; Chordata; Mammalia; Carnivora; Ursidae.
AUCCAAUCCAGUGCCACUACACAAUGGAUUUAAACAUGUACACCUAGACUGACAAAUUGAAUUCCAGCCCCAAACUAUAUUUGAGCAGAUCGUAGUCUUAUAAAAGGUUUGGAGAAGCCUUCACUCAUUAAAAUAUGUGAGCUUUAGAAAUAUAUCCUGUCACUGAUUAGAAAUAAAGACUAGAAUUUCCUCAUGCUGUAUGAUCUGAAGAAAAGGGUACACUUUUCUAGUCAUCAUAGUGCUCACCAUCAUCACCGUCAUCACCCACAUCACCAUCAUCACCAUCAUCAUCACCAUCACCAUCAUCACCAUCAUCAUCAUCAUCACCAUCAUCAUCAUCACCAUCAUCAUCACCAUCACCGUCAUCACCAUCAUCACCAUCAUCACCUGCAUCACCAUCAUCAACAUCAUCACCAUCAUAGUCACCAUCAUCACCCACAUCACCAGCAUCACCAUCAUCAUCAUCACCAUCACCAUCACCAUCACCAUCACCAUCAUCACCAUCAUCACCUGCAUCACCAUCAUCAUCACCUGCAUCACCAUCAUUAUCACCAUCAUCACCAUCAUCACCAUCACCACCACCAUCAUCAACACCAUCACCAUCAUAAUUAUCAUCACCAUCAUCAUCACCAUCAUCAUCAUCAUCAUCACCAGCAUCACCAUCAUCAUCACCAUCAUCAUCAUCAUCAUCACCAGCAUCACCCACAUCACCAGCAUCACCAUCAUCAUCAUCAUCACCAGCAUCAUCACCUGCAUCACCAUCACCAUCAUCAUUAUCAUCAUCACCAUCAUCAUCAUCACCAUCAUCACCACCAUCAUCAUUACCAUCACCAGCAUCACCAUCAUCAUCAUUACCAUCACCACCACUACUAUCACUAUGAUCACCAUCACCAUCAUCACUAUCAUCAUCAGCAUCAUCACCAUCACCACCGUCAUCAACACCAUCACCAUCAUCAUUAUCAUCACCAUGAUCAUCAUCACCAUCAUCAUUACCACCAUCAUCAUCACCAUCAUCAUCACCAUCAUCAUCAUCAUCACCAUCACCAUCAUCACCAUCAUCACCAUCAUCAUUACCACCACCACCAUCACCGGCAUCACUAUCAUCAUCAGCAUCAUCACCAUCACCACCACCAUCAUCAACAUCAUCACCAUCAUCAUUAUCAUCACCAUCAUCAUUAUCAUCACCAUCAUCAUCAUCAUUACUAUCAUUACCAUCAUCAUCACUAUCACUGUCAUCAUCAAUGUCACUACCGUCAGCAGCAUCACUAUCACGUAAGUGAACUUCUAUUUAUGGAGGACAGUAAACACUGGGCUAUGAGGAAGGGGUAGGGUACAUUAUUGUGUUUUUUGCCUGGUUUGGCUGAGACAUGAAGUAGAAACAAAUAUUAAGGAGUUUUAGAAUAGCUACUUAUGACACUAUGACCCUGUGGCAGACUUGGAGUACAGACUCAGAGAACUUUAGGUCCGGUCCGACCUCUAGCAAUCACUAGCUUUUGGUCUAAG